GGCGCUGCGGGAGAGCGCGGCGGGCCCGGGGCGUGAGGGGAGCGCGGGGCGGGCACGGGGUGCGGACGGGUCGGGGUGUGCGGGGGUAGUACACGGCGUGCGGAGCGGCUCAGGCCAUGCGGGGGUGGCACAGGGCAGUGCGGGGACAGGGCACACCCGUCUCUGGCGGAGGUUGGUGCCGGUGCGGGGGAGCGGGGCACUGCCGAGCCCUGUGUGAGCGCCUGCUCUGUUCCGGGGCAGCACCGACACCCCGCGCACCGGGCUGGAAUGGCCUUUUCAACGCCGACCAUCCCGCCCUGCUGCUCUGGGACAGGCAGGAGUGACACCAGGCAGUCCCUCCUGUCACCUCCCGUGCGUGUGACAGCACCGGCCUCUCUCCCUGACUGCAGCCCGUGAGUCCCUGGGCUGGAGAAAGCUGAAAGUUUGGCCAUCCUGCAUCUUCUUCGAAGUACAAACAUAGCCAGUCCAGACUCAGAAUGAGCUGCAGCAACUGGAUAAAUCUACUGGCACCAUGAAGAAUUCAAGUGGUUAAUUUGGAUUAAAAGUCUCUCUGCAGGUGGAAUGCCUCCUGUCUCUCAAGUGGCUCAGCAGAUCAGCCAGGAGGAAAACCAACAGCAAAAUGGACCAAAUUUGUCAAAUCUGCUUCAUUCCUUACGCAGCAGGAACCCAGCUCUGCCCCAGCAGGUACAACCAGCAGGAUGGGAUAAGAACCAUGUGCUUGUGGUCCCAGCUCCAGUUCCUCACAACAACAGGAAAAUGAAAUUCUGCAGUGAAGAGCAGCACUGGGGAAAGAAAGUUUAUGAUCUCUGAAACCUCUGCCCAAACUCCAUGAGGCCCCACAGCACAAAUCACACCAUGAUUUAUCUUUUGGAAAAAAUGCAGUGAAUGGCAACAGAUUUUUUUCAAGAAGGAAGAUGAAAGAUGAUAACUGCCAAGAGAGUAAUGUGAAUUUGAUAUUUUAAACCAGAAAAUAAUAGGCAGCAUUUACAUGGCUAGGAUGUGAUCACUGGGGAUCUGGGAGUUUGGGGUCGCCUCUCCACUGUUGAUAAAUUUUAAACAGUACUCCUAAAGGGAUUCUAAUUAUUUUCUUUCUUUAGAAAUGUGCUUUUUAGAUAGAAUUGAGUAAAAACUUAAAAUAAUUGUAUGGUUUUAUUUUUGGGUUAAUAUGUCGAGAUGGGAAUAGAUGGAUCUGGAAUGCCAGUUCUACAAAGGCAAAUGUUUUAAUUACGAGCAUUGAAUUAACUGCAGAGCUUGUCAUUUGAGGGUGCUGCCCUGUUUGUGACUCCUGGUAACAUGAGCACAAUGCUCUAUUUCCAUGGUGUGGGCUCUUGGAACCUUUUAAAGUAACAGCAGCUGCUCUCUGCAGUGUCACAUGACACGUGGCUCUUCCAGUUCCACUUUAAUUCUGCCAUCAGCUGGGAGAUUUUUCAUCAUUCUCAGAUACUGUGCUACUAUUAUUAUUAUUUUUUUUAACUGUAGCUGAAUAGUAGUAAAUUAUUUCUUUACUUUGUGUUUUUUUUUUCUUUUACUGUAAUUUAAGCACACAGACUGGUCUCUCUUUGAUGUGAUUGCGAUGGAAAACCAAAUUACUUGCUAUGAAGCAGAAAUGCUGCCAAAACUGAAGGUAACUGGAAAGCUUAUGGUAGAGAUCUCCUGCUCCCCUUCAUCACCCAGACUUGAGCCAGUGAGGCUCCAACCAAACAGGUAUGUAGUGUUCAAAUGAUUGAUUUAUUUUUCAUUGAUAUUUUUUUAAAGUAACAGAUGAAAAAGAGUAAUAUUUGUGAGGGCUCAGAGGGUUCAUUCAGAAUUAUUUGUUUAUUGUUUUAUCUUUUGUUUCCAAACUGAUUACUGCUAAAGACUUUAUGCCUUUAAAGUGUUCUCCCUCAGUCUUCUGAGGGAAAGCAGAGUGCUUCUUACUGCUUAAUAGUUCUUUUCAUUUAUGAAAGAUCAGUUUUGAUCUUUCUGGCCACACUCAAGAGUUUAAGUCACUUGUGGUUUUGAUCAAACACUGAAAAUUACUUCUGGAGUAGAAUUUCCUAAUCAGAAUAAUUAAAUCUUCUCCUUAUAGUUAAUUUUCAGAUGUACUUGCAAAACACUUAAAGAUUUUUUUUG
Molecule: long non-coding RNA, 2112 nt
Organism: Geospiza fortis (medium ground-finch)
Lineage: Eukaryota; Metazoa; Chordata; Aves; Passeriformes; Thraupidae
Source: Ensembl